Molecule: long non-coding RNA, 842 nt
Filed under: Nicotiana benthamiana
Lineage: Eukaryota; Viridiplantae; Streptophyta; Magnoliopsida; Solanales; Solanaceae
Description: long non-coding RNA (NBEN_LNC009434)
Source: RNAcentral
UUUGUUAAAACAAAAAACACUUUAAACAAACAACAUCUAGACUUCAUGCUAAUAUUCAAGUCUAAUAACCUUCAAUUAAAUCAUAUCUGUUAUAACCAAGUUUAAACAUAACACUCAACCAUAUCAUAUACCUAAAACAGUACACCUCGUCAGAUUCAGUCUGUUGUUCAUCAGAUAUAUAUCAUUGCUUCCCGUUGUUGCUUUAAAUCAUGAAGUUCUUUUCGCAUAGAUUCCACUUAUUCUUAAUUCAAAAUAGAAGCACCAGAGAACAAUGCAUCUGGAUGGCCCCGAGGGCCGCCGUACUCUGUAGACUCUUUCUUUGCUCCACCUGCCGCCUCUAUCCAUAUUGAAAUCGAAUCAUCUGUUGAUGGUUGAGUUGAGGGAGGUCGGUUUGCUGCCAUUCUUUCAAAUUUUUAUCACCCUUCCUAAAAUAUAGAUGAUAACUAAUAUUUCCCGGUUUAAAAGAAGUGAUUUUUUAGUUGUUUUUACAAAUUAAAAAAUUUAUCUUUUAACAAUAAUUAGCAAUGAAAUUGACCAUUUAACAUUUACUAUCUCUUCACAUAAAUACUUCAAACACAUACUCCAAUACUAUUUACUCCAUGGAUAAUGUAAAAAUAAAUAAUUUAUUCUAGAAAAGUCACUUAUUUUGAACAUGGAGGAAAUAUAUUAUAAAUAAAAUAAUAAUAUUAAUACAACAAAAUAAUCUUAAAAUUAGAAAUUUACAUAUUUCUCUGGCGCACGUGCUUCUACCCAAUGUUCUCUUGUACAGUUAGGAGUUUUUUUCUUUAUGCGUCUCCACAAAAUCCACAGCAUGAGACACAUCUCGCCCUCUUUCCUUUUUA